GGGUCAGUAGGUUGGUAGCGCCACCGGUACGUACUGGUCUCACUGAUUCCUCCUUCCUGAAGAACCGUAAUGCCAUUAAUUUGGUGUUGCGGGGAAACAGGACUGUUACUUUGAAAAAAUUAGAGUGUUUAAAGCAAGCUAACGCUUGAAUACAUUAGCAUGGAAUAAUGAAGUAGGACGAUCGAUCCUAUUUUGUUGGUUUCUAGGAUUGACGUA
This 216-nucleotide ribosomal RNA is filed under the name Glomeromycotina sp. Its description in RNAcentral is "partial small subunit ribosomal RNA". The stretch from base 40 to 216 matches the Rfam family "Eukaryotic small subunit ribosomal RNA", at positions 686 to 864 of the family's 1831-position model. Lineage: Eukaryota; Fungi; Glomeromycota. The record is from RNAcentral.